Molecule: long non-coding RNA, 454 nt
Organism: Canis lupus familiaris (dog)
Lineage: Eukaryota; Metazoa; Chordata; Mammalia; Carnivora; Canidae
Exons: 2
Source: RefSeq, a predicted model, not a curated record
CCUCAUUGACUAACCUCAGAAUUUCAGAGCUGGCAAGUUCUUGGAGAUCUAAUCUAAUCUUCUCAUUUUAUAAGAAAACGUCCGCCCAGAAGAUUAUAAACCUCAACACCUCCACUGUCUUUGAUGGAAUACCGUCUUCAUCAUCUCCAGGAGUCUUCUCAUGGGAAGACUCACACAUGAAACCGAGAACCCGAGCAAGUAUGUAGCUCGUCUGACUCGAAACGGAAUGGAAUCAAGUGUCCGAAAGACUUUAAUUAAGCUCUGCACCUUAUCAAGAAGGAGCUGUCUGUCUGCUACAUGCUGGGACACCGGGACGAAGGGCGGGCCCUCCCGACACGUUAGCUGUUUGGUUUUCUUGUUGUUGUUGUUAGCUGUUGUUUUUAAAACGCAUGGUCUAAUAAAUAAAAAUCUUAAAAAAAAAAAAAAGAAAAAAAGAAACAGAACGCAUGGUCUA